This 534-nucleotide unclassified non-coding RNA is filed under the name Hevea brasiliensis (rubber tree). Lineage: Eukaryota; Viridiplantae; Streptophyta; Magnoliopsida; Malpighiales; Euphorbiaceae. The record is from RNAcentral.
ACCAGAUCAAGUCGAAAUUACAGCUGGAUUUUAACAAGAAUCAGCUCGUUGAGAAGCUUCGGAGGUUGAAGAAGAAAUAUCGCAACGUUAUUGGUAAGAUUAGCUCUGGUAAGGACUUCAAUUUCAAAAGCCCUCACGAUCAGGCUACGUUUGAGAUUUCUCGCAAGAUCUGGAGCAAUACCGGCCGAAUUGGAGUCGACGACAACGCUUUAGACGAUGACGAACCUGCUGCUCCGACUCCGUAUGCUAGCUACAUGGACCACAGAAACGAAGAGAUGAUGGCGAAUUGCGCAGAGAAGAAACCGACGCCGACUCCGAAAUCGCGGAAGCGCACACGGCCUGGAUCGGGAAUUAGAAUGGACGUUCCGCGUUCGUCUAAUGAGAAUUUGAGUAAAGAGAAAAACAGUACCUACCACAACAACACCAACAACAACGAAAAUGUCAAUAACGUAGCGGUAGCAGGAUUGAUCGAGGAGACGGUGAGGAGCUGCCUGUCGCCAUUGUUUAAGGAAUUGCUGAAUACUUCCAUGGGAG